RNAcentral lists this ribosomal RNA (248 nucleotides) under uncultured bacterium. RNAcentral's name for it is "partial 16S ribosomal RNA". It matches the Rfam family "Bacterial small subunit ribosomal RNA", at positions 109 to 353 of the family's 1533-position model. The record is from RNAcentral.
AGUAACACGUGGGUAACCUGCCUUAUAGUGGGGGAUAGCCUUUCGAAAGGAAGAUUAAUACCGCAUAAGAUUGUAGUACCGCAUGAUAUAGCAAUUAAAGGAGCAAUUCGCUAUAAGAUGGACCCGCGUCGCAUUAGCUAGUUGGUGAGGUAAUGGCUCACCAAGGCGACGAUGCGUAGCCGACCUGAGAGGGUGAACGGCCACAUUGGGACUGAGACACGGCCCAGACUCCUACGGGAGGCAGCAUG